RNAcentral lists this small nuclear RNA (20 nucleotides) under Arabidopsis thaliana (thale cress). Its description in RNAcentral is "snRNA_17276". Lineage: Eukaryota; Viridiplantae; Streptophyta; Magnoliopsida; Brassicales; Brassicaceae. The record is from RNAcentral.
GCCCCGUCGUGCCCGGACCC